Non-coding RNA from Cinara cedri, 474 nucleotides. Lineage: Eukaryota; Metazoa; Arthropoda; Insecta; Hemiptera; Aphididae. The record is from the annotation of a GenBank genome assembly.
CGGAAAAUUAUAUGCAAAAAUUGCGUUUAUGUUUGAAAACGCACGAGAGUUCAACCUCUACCACCGCAUCAUAAUGAACAAUCGUCUUCCUUUUUUGUGCAACUAAUUAAACCUAUUUGGUAUUUGUUAAACGAUUAUUAUAAUCAGACGAUAAAUUUAAUAUGCCAUCUGUACUUGCAAAAAGACAUAAUCAUUUUGGCAUAGACAAGCCGGAAACUAAUCUAAAUUGUUUGAAAUCAAGCAAAAAUCAUCAUUAUGAAUCGUAAACACCGUACCAUCAGUCAACGUCGCAACAGAUUUUUAUCCGAAAUCGACUAAGAGAUGAAAUUCGAUGUUUUCAAACAGUCGUCUUACAUAUAUUCGAUUUUACAAAGACUGACAAAUUUGUUCUCAUAAUACCUAGUGCGUAAAAGUUAUCAGGGUUUUUAUGCGGAUUAGGCAACAUUUUAAUGAGACUAACUAUCAAUUCGGCUC